GACGAACGCUGGCGGCGUGCUUAACACAUGCAAGUCGUACGGUAAGGCCCUUUCGGGGGUACACGAGUGGCGAACGGGUGAGUAACACGUGAGUAACCUGCCCACAACUUUGGGAUAACGCUAGGAAACUGGUGCUAAUACUGGAUAUGUUCUCCUGCUGCAUGGUGGGGGUUGGAAAGCUCCGGCGGUUGUGGAUGGACUCGCGGCCUAUCAGCUUGUUGGUGGGGUAGUGGCCUACCAAGGCGGCGACGGGUAGCCGGCCUGAGAGGGUGACCGGCCACAUUGGGACGGAGAUACGGCCCAGACGCCUAAGGGGGGCAGCAGGGGGGAAUAUUGCACAAUGGGCGCAAGCCUGAUGCAGCAACGCCGCGUGCGGGAUGACGGCCUUCGGGUUGUAAACCGCUUUCAGCAGGGACGAAGCUUUUUGUGACGGUACCUGCAGAAGAAGCACCGGCUAACUACGUG
RNAcentral lists this ribosomal RNA (465 nucleotides) under uncultured bacterium. RNAcentral describes it as "partial 16S ribosomal RNA". It matches the Rfam family "Bacterial small subunit ribosomal RNA", at positions 28 to 507 of the family's 1533-position model. The record is from RNAcentral.